UAUGAGUUUGAAACACCGGUUCCCAUACGAUAACCAAAGUUAAGCAAGGUCAAUCCUGCUCAGUACCUAGAUGGGUAACUGUUUGUGAAUACCAGUUGUUGUAAG
Acanthosepion pharaonis is the source of this 105-nucleotide non-coding RNA. Lineage: Eukaryota; Metazoa; Mollusca; Cephalopoda; Sepiida; Sepiidae. The record is from the annotation of a GenBank genome assembly.